CUCAGUUUUUCCUCUAUUCUUCGCAUAAAUAAAUGGAUUAAAGCAAAUAGGUGGCUCAGAGGUAUUCUGUUUUAGUCGUAGAGUCGAAGUUACUUCACUGCUUUGUAGGAUGAAGACAGUAAAUGAUUUUCAUGGAUCCUUUUGCAUGUGUUGAAACUCUUUUCCUUGCCCCUCAAUUACCGACUUUUAAUCCCAUGCAGUCCAUGCAUCCCGUUUUUUUGCCUUUCCCGUGCUCACCUCCCUCCUAGGAUGCAAUAAUGUGACCGAUGAGGGGCUUGGGUCCCCAACCCAGGUGUGAGAGAGGACCAGACCAUCACACCAGCAGUUUGGAGGUGCCACCAAGCAAUUUGGGGCUGCUGCUGUGCCACGGUGGGACACUACAGCCACCAAGACCACCUCGGUUUCCCCUCCAUACAGCCUGGCUCCAGCUCUUCCAUCGGCUGGACUGAAAACAGCAGCGAUUCAGGAACACUCGGCACAAGCAGGAGCAACACUUUGGGGGGCUGAGGCUACACAAAACGCUUUCCCUUCCCUCCAAAAGACAGCAGAAGGAGGCCUCGCUCAACCUUCCUCUGUCUGCAGCCUCACCAAGGCUGCUCAGGCACCUCCCCCCUGGAGGAAUGCAAACCUGUGCCCAAGGAGAGCAGUAACCCACCGGGAUGGGUUAUUCGAGGAUAACGGCACACCGUGCGCUUUGCCCUGGUUUCUGAGGGUGUCUGGUUGUCCUGUGGGGUUCCUGUGCAUCCACAACUGCACCGCCUGUGGCUGAGAGCUGUGCUUGUUCCAGCUGUUUUCCUUUCCCAUUCCAGCAGAGAAACAGGGUUGUGCUCCUUGAGCACAUUGCAGAUGACGGAGGUUGGAUGAAGCCAGGUCUGGCUGAUGACGUUCCCAUCUUGUUACCCUGACACCGAGCAGCCCAGCAGACGGAUCUGGACGGGAAGGAAGGCCGGCGUCGGAAGUCCAGUGCUGGAAACCCGACAAGUAAUGAGAGCUGGAAGGGAGUCCAGUUCCUCCGGUGAUCCCAAGCAUUGCAGCAGCCAAGUUUAAGUCUUUCUGAGGAGUGUGCCUAAACUAACCCUAUGUGUUCCUCCACGGCAGCCCCUCCUACACAUACUAGGAUGCAUCAGGGCACUCCAGCCCUGGUCCAGAUGUCCCCGUCUCACAAAGGAGGCACCUCUCACUUGACUGUGUCAUGCCUUGCAAAAAUCAUAGCUAAUGGGGGCUGGCAACCUCUUUUCUAGCCCCUCCUGAGCAAUCCACCCCUUCUUCAGCAUUGAGGGAGCCUUGCCUUUAAAGCCAGCAGCCAGCAAUCAUUUCUCACUGACGCUGGCGGGGUAAUGAAGAUGUUUAGAAUGCCUGAAGAUCUCCAUAAUCUGGAGGUUGCAUUAUGGCUUAUUUUCAAAACUAUGAAAGCAUUGUUUCCCUUUUCCUAGUCUGAAGCUCUCCAGGUUUUUACGCACAUCACAGUGUUUAAAAAUAAAAUGAGUGCGUCGCUGUUUGCCAGCAAGCGCUUUAUGGAGUCAGUCUUUCAAAGCAGGAGCCUACUUGUGCGUACAUGAAAGAAGUAUGUGUGCGAAAUCUGCAUGUGCACCUACCUGAGUCACAUGUCAGCGAGGCGAACUGAGAAAAUGUUCCCACAGCUGGGGAGUGAUGGGGCAGGCUGUAAACGAGCACGUUUCCAUUUGGCAUGUACAGCCCUGGCACAAGGGAGCACAGACGCGGGUGCCAGGAAGCAUUCAGGUUUUGUGUGCACACAGAUCUGGGGCUAGCUCUUGCUCCUGUGAAAAUAACUUUAAAAGGGGCAGUAUCAAGCCCAGAAACAUAAAAAUGUUUGCCUUGGCUUUGAGCAAUUUUGUGAAAGAACUAAAACCAACAAACUAAAAAUAAAGGUUCGUAACUACAGUGUUGACACUGUAGCAAAGCAGAGGUUUUCCUUUCUUCAUGUCCUGCACUUGCUCUGCAGAUCUCCAUCCAUGCAUUAGCUUAUUAACACUUUUUGCUCCAAGUUUCUUUCAUUCCGUCACUUUGCAGUUUCUUAAUUUAGUUGUUACAUCUUGCAUACCAAUCUCCCCCUACUCCUAAAGCUGAGCCCGAGAUGUUUUAAAUGCCAGGAUCAGAGGUUUGCAUUGCAGUUAGUUCAUGAACGUGUAAUA
This 2153-nucleotide long non-coding RNA is filed under the name Anas zonorhyncha (Eastern spot-billed duck). Its description in RNAcentral is "lncRNA (ENSAZOG00000015956.1)". Lineage: Eukaryota; Metazoa; Chordata; Aves; Anseriformes; Anatidae. The record is from RNAcentral.